This 253-nucleotide ribosomal RNA is filed under the name uncultured bacterium. RNAcentral describes it as "partial 16S ribosomal RNA". It matches the Rfam family "Bacterial small subunit ribosomal RNA", at positions 524 to 776 of the family's 1533-position model. The record is from RNAcentral.
UACGUAGGGGGCUAGCGUUGUCCGGAAUCAUUGGGCGUAAAGAGCGUGUAGGCGGCCCGGUAAGUCCGCUGUGAAAGUCGGGGGCUCAACCCUCGAAUGCCGGUGGAUACUGUCGGGCUAGAGUGCGGAAGAGGCGAGUGGAAUUCCCAGUGUAGUGGUGAAAUACGUAGAGAUUGGGAAGAACACCAGUGGCGAAGGCGGCUAUCUGGACGGUUUCUGACACUAAGACUCGAAAGCGUGGGGAGCAAACAGG